CUGUAAAGCUUCAAACCGACUUAUACCACAGAGGAAGUUAUUUCUGACUCACUGAACUAGUAGCAUCCCCUUCUCUGUUCUCUACACUAGCAGCAUCCCCUUCUCUGUUCUCUACACUAGCAGCAUCCCCUUCUCUGUUCUCUACACUAGCAGCAUCCCCUUCUCUGUUCUCUACACUAGCAGCAUCCCCUUCUCUGUUCUCUACACUAGCAGCAUGUCCUCACAGCCCCUCUCAUUGAUUCCACCAGAGAGUAGCCCCACUGCUUCCUAGGUGUCUGGGCCAGAAAGCUGCAAGUGUGACUGGAGGCUUUAAUGCAUCCCCACCUUCAGAGUUCACUUCCUUCCUGUUAAGUCCGUAUCCAGCCUCACACAGUAAGGCCAUUAGGGAGAGGAGACCAUAGAGAUCAUAUUAAAUUACCUUUUCUAAAUCUAUGGAGGAGACACUCCUACCCAGUGGUGGAAAUGGACUUCACUCAGGAAUACCCAAGUAGGGAGGUCUGGGGACAGACUGAUGGCCGUAUCGCUGGCCCCAUAGUUUACACCUGGAAUCCAGGGGCCACAAUCUGUUGGAAAACAUUGAAACGUUACAUCUGUUAAUUACAUUUCUAGCUGCAAUUCGGCUUCCUGUCAGAGGCAUGUUCUUUAUAUAUUUCUAUCCGAACCUUCAACAAUGUUGUCCCCUGUUGAACGAGGCCCUGUUCUAAGUGGGUUCCCCCUCAAUUUCACCACUGCUUCUCCUGUCAAGUGAGACUCUUGUGAGGAAACGAGCCUAUGAUAAAGAAGCCAGCUAUAGGACCCUUCAACCAGCCUUUCCAUCUGUGUGCUGUAGGAAUGCUCUCACUGCAAACUGAGGCAGAGAACACUGUCUGAAGUCCUGCCAUUUCUAGCUAAUUGCGGUGUAAGUGCUGGUGUUAUGGUACAAUGGGCUACACUGCAGUAGUCAGGCCCGGCAAGAAGAAUGGAAACUUUCUGCCACGGGUCAUUUGAAGUUCAACGCCAAGCUCACUUGUGUAAUGUAUGAACAUGGUGGAGUGUUAACCUGUGAAAUGGGCAGCGAUUGUGUUUGUCAUUGGGUUAAACUACCUCAAAUGUGUGUUAUUUACUGGGAGAAAACUGUCGGUCAUGACAAUCUUCUUUGGCGGUGAUAACUUACUGUCCGCGUCCUUGAUUGGAACAGAAGCUUUUCUGUUUGAAAUGGAAAGCAGAGUUCCUAAUUGCCAUCUGAUGAAAGAUCCCUCAAAUGCUCUGAAUUUGCUCCAGCCAACACUCCUGUCGAAUGAAUGAGGGAAAUACACUGAACGUCGCAUAUUUGCCAAACCACCAAUGAAUUGUAAGUCUCCAAAACCAAAGCUUACCUUACAUUUACCGGUAGUUCACCCUGUCGUGGUCAAAUUUCAGGUGUCUUUUGUUUGAAAUCCUAAGGCAAUAACUCAUAUACAAAGUAUGGACCGUUGUUCCUGUCAAUUUGUACUGUCAUGGUGUACCUGUUUGACCUCAUUUAGUCCAACCAAACUAGUUGGACCAGAGGUAUGGAAAGGUAGUUGUCAAUCAGUUGUUUUUGAGAUGGAAAUGUUGAUCACAUGGAAAUGAGACAAGCAAGCUAUUCCAUGAAUGUUGCGUUACGAUACUGUUCAUUGUCAUAGGGCAGCUGUGACCCACAUUCCUAUGGUCUUUGAAUGACCCGUGCUUAAAGGGGCAGUUCAUCCAAAUCUCUGAAAUGUGUUAUCCUUUUAGAGCUUUUCAGUAGGUAACAAGACUUCAGUCCACAAGGGAAAUAAAUUAACGUUAUCCUUUCUGUCAAGUCUUGUUUCCUACAGACCUGCUGGAAAAUCUCACUGGAUGCGAUCAAUUGUUAUUGUCUGACUGGUUUCUUUGGUCUCUCUAGAUGCGCUGGUACCCUACUCCAUCUGAAACUAACCAGCCAGGAUGGAAGUCCCGGCAGUUCUGUUAGAUAUAUAAUGUAUUUUGGGAACCAUACCUUCUCCGUCCAGUUGAAGGGAGGUUUAACUGAGCUCGUCAUUAAUUUAAUCAGGUUAUUUAAUGGACAAAUGUGCAUUACAGACCUAUUCAUGUUCUCUGGAGGGGUCUGAACUGACAACCUUGCCAUCGACAGAUUGAGCUGAUUCCUUUCGGCAACUAUUCCGGUACCAUCUUAGCACUUCCAAACCUCACGUGAGCCAAGUAAACGCCACAGGUCAUUAUUUGCUGAAGAGAAUAACAUUCUGAAGAAGUUAUACAUUAUAAAGCAACUCCUUGGGUUAUGGCCUAGAGAGCUGAGUUCAGUCAUUGCAUGUUGAAGUAUUUUUGGCAUGAAUUAGAAAGCAGAGUUCUGUGUCCUUGUUUUUCUUAGUGCUUGUGUUGCUUCUUUAUCUGGACCUAAAGUCUAGACAAUGAAUCCCCUUUGCUUCCUGUGUAUUCCUGGUCUUACCUGUGAAAGAUGGACUGUUGUGUAGAUGGCUCCUCUUGCAUGGACCUUGUAGAAUGCACCCCUAGGUUCUGACAAUCCCAGUCUCUCCCAAAAUAUCAAUGUCUAUAAAGAGUAUAUUUGAACAAAUGCAAAGUACAAGUAUUUUUGUACUUUCGUUUAAUGUAUAUUUAUGCAUUUUGUGCUACUAAAUAAUUAAUGUGUUUGUUUAGGAGUGUUUUGUGUGUUGGUGUUUUGAUCUAUAAUCCUGUAAGUACUUUAAAAAAGUGCAAUUGUAUUUGUUUGAGGGUCUACUGAAAUAUUCAAGAAUUCUAAGUGGCCCAUGUGCCAUUUGGACUGCUAAGAAAUUAAUUGCUGUAAAAUGUUGAUUAUUCAGAAUGUGAAACUGGACUACAAACAUGAAGGGGUUGCUUUUGGAAGCCAUUUUUUUAAUGGUUUAGCAGGAUUAGGUGGAUGGAGAAAUUUAAGUUUGCAGUUUAGAUUAAGUUUGUCUCUGUAUCUGCUGAAUAUGAGAUGUACAACUGUUCCCAUUUUAUGAAUUAAACAAAGUGAAUGCAAUUAUUUUUCUGAUUGAAUUAA
Long non-coding RNA from Oncorhynchus masou masou (cherry salmon), 3004 nucleotides. RefSeq lists it as uncharacterized. Lineage: Eukaryota; Metazoa; Chordata; Actinopteri; Salmoniformes; Salmonidae. The transcript has 2 exons. The record is from RefSeq and is a predicted model, not a curated record.